This 418-nucleotide ribosomal RNA is filed under the name uncultured Methanosaeta sp. RNAcentral describes it as "bacterial SSU rRNA". It matches the Rfam family "Archaeal small subunit ribosomal RNA", at positions 922 to 1338 of the family's 1478-position model. The record is from RNAcentral. Lineage: Archaea; Methanobacteriati; Methanobacteriota; Methanomicrobia; Methanotrichales; Methanotrichaceae.
AAAUCUCGACCGGGGCGACAGCAAUAUGAAGGUCAGGCUGAAGACCUUACCCGAUUAGCUGAGAGGUGGUGCAUGGCCGUCGUCAGUUUCGUACUGUGAAGCAUCCUGUUAAGUCAGGCAACGAGCGAGACCCACGUCCACAGUUGCCAGCAUACCCUCCGGGGUGAUGGGUACACUGUGGAGACCGCCGCUGCUAAAGCGGAGGAAGGAGUGGGCAACGGUAGGUCAGUAUGCCCCGAAUCUCCCGGGCUACACGCGGGCUACAAUGGUUGGUACAAUGGGCAUCUACCCCGAAAGGGGAAGGAAAUCUCUUAAAGCCAAUCGUAGUUCGGAUUGAGGGCUGCAACUCGCCCUCAUGAAGCUGGAAUCCGUAGUAAUCGCGUUUCAACAGAACGCGGUGAAUACGUCCCUGCUCCUU